Molecule: long non-coding RNA, 768 nt
Filed under: Homo sapiens (human)
Lineage: Eukaryota; Metazoa; Chordata; Mammalia; Primates; Hominidae
Description: novel transcript, antisense to IWS1
Source: RNAcentral
CCCAUCUGGGCUACUAUAACCACAUGGACCAUCCCUUGCUUCAAUCAUAGAAUUCUUUCUUCAGAUCAAAGUAUAUUCAGACACUCGAUACAGUAACAAAAGCAAGCUAUCCUGGAAGGAAGAAGGAAUCAGGAGGCAGAGCACAUGGUUAAAGCAUGAGAUGUGAAACCAGGAAGAACCAGGUCUGAACCUUAGCUCCACCAGUGGUAGCUUCAAACCUUGGUCCUUUCUGAGCCUGCUUCUUCAACCGUAAGAUAAGCGACCAGAAAACAGUCCUCUCUGAAUCAGACAAACUUCAAGAGCUACAAGGGUUAUUAACACAUGAAGUAAAGAGUCAAACAGUAAUCUGCAGCUCAUCCCCUAUUCUCUUCUUGCAAUCGGGAUGCUGCCUGACUACCAACACACCUGCACAAAGCCCUCUGCAGCACCUGCCACUGGCCCAUGCUUUUGUCAUUGCCACCUCCAGCUCAGCCUCAUUCCCCUCCAGGCUCUGCUCCAACGCACAGGACCACAGGAACUCGGAAACGGGACCCAGAAAGUUGUUUUCUCAAGUGGAUGGAACAACACAAGCAAUCAGUAUCCUGAAACAGGCCCUGUUCCAACAAACUGACCCAGAAAGGUCUGGUUAGGAGGACAGGACCCUCACUAUACACUAUCACAUUUAAACUAAAAGGAUAUUAUGAAUUAUGUACACAUAUCAAGCUGAGAGGAAAGGAAAUCCUAUCAUCUUGCAGGCUUCCUAAUGAUCUUACUUAAAACUGAGUUACU